RNAcentral lists this ribosomal RNA (253 nucleotides) under uncultured bacterium. Its description in RNAcentral is "partial 16S ribosomal RNA". It matches the Rfam family "Bacterial small subunit ribosomal RNA", at positions 524 to 776 of the family's 1533-position model. The record is from RNAcentral.
UACGUAGGGGGCAAGCGUUGUCCGGAAUCAUUGGGCGUAAAGCGCGUGUAGGCGGCCCGGUAAGUCCGCUGUGAAAGUCGGGGGCUCAACCCUCGAAUGCCGGUGGAUACUGUCGGGCUAGAGUGCGGAAGAGGCGAGUGGAAUUCCGGGUGUAGCGGUGGAAUGCGUAGAGAUCGGGAAGAAUACCCGUGGCGAAGGCGGCCAGCUGGGCCAGGUCCGACACUGAGGCGCGAAAGCGUGGGGAGCAAACAGG